RNAcentral lists this transfer RNA (72 nucleotides) under Bos taurus (domestic cattle). It matches the Rfam family "tRNA". Rfam says of the family: Transfer RNA (tRNA) molecules are approximately 80 nucleotides in length. Their secondary structure includes four short double-helical elements and three loops (D, anti-codon, and T loops). Lineage: Eukaryota; Metazoa; Chordata; Mammalia; Artiodactyla; Bovidae. RNAcentral also lists the same sequence under 2 other names. The record is from Rfam by way of RNAcentral.
UCCCUGAUGGCUCAGAUGGUGAAGAAUCUGCCUGCAAUGCAGGAGACCCAGGUUAGAUCCCUGGAUUGGGAA